This 98-nucleotide small nuclear RNA is filed under the name Nannospalax galili (Upper Galilee mountains blind mole rat). The record is from RNAcentral. Lineage: Eukaryota; Metazoa; Chordata; Mammalia; Rodentia; Spalacidae.
AUUCUCUUGAAGAAGACAGCCUCACCUGGAUACAGAGAAAAUUAGCAUGGCCCCUGGGCAAGGAUGACAUGCAAAUAUGUGAAGUGUUCCAUAUUUUC